RNAcentral lists this ribosomal RNA (517 nucleotides) under bacterium enrichment culture clone ALO1_GLFRUDD03G9A0C. RNAcentral describes it as "bacterial SSU rRNA". It matches the Rfam family "Bacterial small subunit ribosomal RNA", at positions 9 to 520 of the family's 1533-position model. The record is from RNAcentral.
GAGUUUGAUCGUGGCUCAGAUUGAACGCUGGCGGCAGGCCUAACACAUGCAAGUCGAGCGGAUGACGGGAGCUUGCUCCUUGAUUCAGCGGCGGACGGGUGAGUAAUGCCUGGGAAUCUGCCUGGUAGUGGGGGACAACGUUUCGAAAGGAACGCUAAUACCGCAUACGUCCUACGGGAGAAAGCAGGGGACCUUCGGGCCUUGCGCUAUCAGAUGAGCCUAGGUCGGAUUAGCUAGUUGGUGGGGUAAUGGCUCACCAAGGCGACGAUCCGUAACUGGUCUGAGAGGAUGAUCAGUCACACUGGAACUGAGACACGGUCCAGACUCCUACGGGAGGCAGCAGUGGGGAAUAUUGGACAAUGGGCGAAAGCCUGAUCCAGCCAUGCCGCGUGUGUGAAGAAGGUCUUCGGAUUGUAAAGCACUUUAAGUUGGGAGGAAGGGCAGUAAGUUAAUACCUUGCUGUUUUGACGUUACCGACAGAAUAAGCACCGGCUAACUCUGUGCCAGCCGCCGACGG